RNAcentral lists this ribosomal RNA (481 nucleotides) under uncultured bacterium. RNAcentral's name for it is "partial 16S ribosomal RNA". It matches the Rfam family "Bacterial small subunit ribosomal RNA", at positions 28 to 507 of the family's 1533-position model. The record is from RNAcentral.
GAUGAACGCUGGCGGCGUGCCUAACACAUGCAAGUCGAGCGAAGCGCUUAAAUUAGAUUUCUUCGGAAUGACGAUUUUUGUGACUGAGCGGCGGACGGGUGAGUAACGCGUGGGUAACCUGCCUCAUACAGGGGGAUAACAGUUAGAAAUGACUGCUAAUACCGCAUAAGACCCCAGCUUCGCAUGAAGCGGUGGUAAAAACUCCGGUGGUAUGAGAUGGACCCGCGUCUGAUUAGCUAGUUGGUAAGGUAACGGCUUACCAAGGCGACGAUCAGUAGCCGACCUGAGAGGGUGACCGGCCACAGUGGGACUGAGACACGGCCCAGACUCCUACGGGAGGCAGCAGUGGGGAAUAUUGCACAAUGGGGGAAACCCUGAUGCAGCGACGCCGCGUGAAGGAUGAAGUAUUUCGGUAUGUAAACUUCUAUCAGCAGGGAAGAAAGUGACGGUACCUGACUAAGAAGCCCCGGCUAACUACGUG